CUUACGGGUGGCAGCAGUGGGGAAUAUUGCACAAUGGGGGAAACUUUGAUGCAGCGACGCCGCGAGAGCGAAGAUGUAUGUCGGUAAGUAAAUUUCUAUCAUCAGGGAAGAUAAUGACGGUACCUGACGAAGAAGCCUCGGCUAACUACGUGCCAGCAGCCGCGGUAAUACGUAGGGUGCAAGCGUUAUCCGGAUUUACUGGGUGUAAAGGGAGCGUAGGCGGUUUGGCAAGUCAGAAGUGAAAUCCCGGGGCUCAACCCUGGAAUUGCAUUUGAAACUGUCUGUCUUGAGUGCAGGAGAGGUAGGCGGAAUUCCUGGUGUAGCGGUGAAAUGCGUAGAUAUCAGGAGGAACACCAGUGGCGAAGGCGGCUUAUCUGACCUGCUAACUGACGCUGAGCUC
RNAcentral lists this ribosomal RNA (400 nucleotides) under uncultured Clostridium sp. RNAcentral describes it as "bacterial SSU rRNA". It matches the Rfam family "Bacterial small subunit ribosomal RNA", at positions 338 to 754 of the family's 1533-position model. Lineage: Bacteria; Bacillati; Bacillota; Clostridia; Eubacteriales; Clostridiaceae. The record is from RNAcentral.